GCGAACGGGUGAGUAACACGUGGGCAAUCUGCCCUGCAUUCUGGGACAAGCCUUGGAAACGAGGUCUAAUACCGGAUACGACGCAUCUCCGCAUGGGGUGUGCGUGGAAAGCUCCGGCGAUGCAGGAUGAGCCCGCGGCCUAUCAGCUUGUUGGUGGGGUAAUGGCCUACCAAGGCGACGACGGGUAGCCGGCCUGAGAGGGCGACCGGCCACACUGGGACUGAGACACGGCCCAGACUCCUACGGGAGGCAGCAGUGGGGAAUAUUGCACAAUGGGCGAAAGCCUGAUGCAGCGACGCCGCGUGAGGGAUGACGGCCUUCGGGUUGUAAACCUCUUUCAGCAGGGAAGAAGCGCGAGUGACGGUACCUGCAGAAGAAGCACCGGCUAACUACGUGCCAGCAGCCGCGGUAAUACGUAGGGUGCGAGCGUUGUCCGGAUUUAUUGGGCGUAAAGAGCUCGUAGGCGGCUUGUCGCGUCGGAUGUGAAAGCCCGGGGCUUAACUCCGGGUCUGCAUUCGAUACGGGCAGGCUAGAGUGUGGUAGGGGAGAUCGGAAUUCCUGGUGUAGCGGUGAAAUGCGCAGAUAUCAGGAGGAACACCGGUGGCGAAGGCGGAUCUCUGGGCCAUUACUGACGCUGAGGAGCGAAAGCGUGGGGAGCGAACAGGAUUAGAUACCCUGGUAGUCCA
RNAcentral lists this ribosomal RNA (686 nucleotides) under Streptacidiphilus sp. 816_12. Its description in RNAcentral is "bacterial SSU rRNA". It matches the Rfam family "Bacterial small subunit ribosomal RNA", at positions 98 to 797 of the family's 1533-position model. RNAcentral also lists the same sequence under 1 other name. The record is from RNAcentral. Lineage: Bacteria; Bacillati; Actinomycetota; Actinomycetes; Kitasatosporales; Streptomycetaceae.